Long non-coding RNA from Sarcophilus harrisii (Tasmanian devil), 525 nucleotides. RefSeq lists it as uncharacterized. NCBI's taxonomy places the organism in Eukaryota, Metazoa, Chordata, Mammalia, Dasyuromorphia, Dasyuridae. The transcript has 4 exons. The record is from RefSeq and is a predicted model, not a curated record.
UGUGAGUCACAUAUUGAAGUCACCGAGGAAGUUGAAAGAAUGUUUUGGACGUCAAUAUGUGACAAUAAAAAGAAUGGAGAUAGUGUGAUACAAUCUGCUUGCAGUUCUGAAAGGACAAGCUGUUGUUAAUUCAAUGAGGAAGACAAAGCAAGGGACUGGAAAUAGCAAUAAGCAUCAAAGAGUUUCCUGACUUCUAUUCAUCCUCUUGAAAAAGUCUAUCUUAGCCUGGGACUGUGAGAUCUACAGAAGAACACUUAGAGGCCAGACAUUACAAAUCAGAUGCAUCCUAAACAUUUGCUAUCCAAGCAGCAGAUCGAUAAACAACAUUGCAAGUAAUUUCAACAGCUUGGAAUAUAAUUGCUCCAAGACACUUGAACUCAUUAAAGUGCUGCUUCUGGGCUACUGGACAAUCUGGAGUGGUCAAGUAAAGGACCUAAUUAAACUUUGUUCUGUGAUAUUUCAUCUUCUUUUUUUUUUUCUUUUUUUAUUUAAUAGCCUUUUAUUUACAGGUUAUAUGUAUGGGUA